RNAcentral lists this transfer RNA (87 nucleotides) under Bacteroidota bacterium. RNAcentral's name for it is "Bacteroidetes bacterium (activated sludge metagenome) tRNA-Leu". It matches the Rfam family "tRNA". Rfam says of the family: Transfer RNA (tRNA) molecules are approximately 80 nucleotides in length. The record is from RNAcentral. Lineage: Bacteria; Pseudomonadati; Bacteroidota.
UGCUCUGGUGGUGGAACUGGUAGACACGCAGGACUUAAAAUCCUGUUCCCGUUGAGGGAGUGCGGGUUCGAUUCCCCGCCCGAGCAU